This is a non-coding RNA of Hypoxylon cercidicola, 183 nucleotides long. The record is from the annotation of a GenBank genome assembly. NCBI's taxonomy places the organism in Eukaryota, Fungi, Ascomycota, Sordariomycetes, Xylariales, Hypoxylaceae.
GCUGGGGUGGUCUAAUGGUUAUGACGCUGGAAGGGCGACUGACCCAAGUAUUCACUGGAUCGCUAAACCGCGGAUGCCAGGCACCAUAUAACGAGUGUGGAUGCCAAUCACAGCGAAGAGAUCUAGUGGAUACUACGGGCUCUUGCUCUACCGGAGAUGCCAGUUCGAAUCUGGCUCUCGGCA